UCAGAUUGAACGCUGGCGGCAGGCCUAACACAUGCAAGUCGAACGGUAACAGRAAGCAGCUUGCUKCUUUGCUGACGAGUGGCGGACGGGUGAGUAAUGUCUGGGAAACUGCCUGAUGGAGGGGGAUAACUACUGGAAACGGUAGCUAAUACCGCAUAACGUCGCAAGACCAAAGAGGGGGACCUUCGGGCCUCUUGCCAUCGGAUGUGCCCAGAUGGGAUUAGCUAGUAGGUGGGGUAAAGGCUCACCUAGGCGACGAUCCCUAGCUGGUCUGAGAGGAUGACCAGCCACACUGGAACUGAGACACGGUCCAGACUCCUACGGGAGGCAGCAGUGGGGAAUAUUGCACAAUGGGCGCAAGCCUGAUGCAGCCAUGCCGCGUGUAUGAAGAAGGCCUUCGGGUUGUAAAGUACUUUCAGCGGGGAGGAAGGGAGUAAAGUUAAUACCU
RNAcentral lists this ribosomal RNA (448 nucleotides) under Enterobacteriaceae bacterium R-49441. Its description in RNAcentral is "bacterial SSU rRNA". It matches the Rfam family "Bacterial small subunit ribosomal RNA", at positions 24 to 468 of the family's 1533-position model. The record is from RNAcentral. Lineage: Bacteria; Pseudomonadati; Pseudomonadota; Gammaproteobacteria; Enterobacterales; Enterobacteriaceae.